GGGAUACUGAGUCCCACUCCCUCCGUAUGCAACCCACUGGAAAACCAAGGCAAACACAAGAAAAUCCCCCACUUCAUCACAGCUAUGUCUGGGUGACCCCCCUGCCUCCGAGCCCCAUGGGCAGGCAGUGCCAACCCUGGUAGGGGACAGACUCCUAGAGAGGCCGAAAGACGGGUGGACUGAAUUGGGGUGGAGGGGAGGCGGGGGGGGGGUGUCUCCUCUGUUUAACUCCUGUCUCUUGUUCAAAGCAGGGCGUGAAUUUCUCAAACCCACCAUCUGGGUGAUCGCCAGCACGGUGGUGGCACUCGGGGGAAGCAUCACCAUCCGCUGUGCGGGUUGGUACCCGGGCAUGACGUUCUUUCUGCGUAAAGCUGGACACCUGAACCUGCAGGUGCGGCUGGUACCUGAUGGGACCGUGGCUGAAUUUCCCAUCCCCAAUGUCACCCGGGAAGAUGGAGGGAGCUACACCUGUGACGGUCACUCAAUAACAGAUCAGAGUCACUGGUCGUAUCUGAGCAACCCCGUCGAGAUCAUUGUAGCAGUCAGACAACGCACCUGAACAGUCUGGGAUAGAGAGAACCCCGACAGAUUUGGCACUCCCGAUGGGACCUGUCUGACUCUCGGGCGAGGGGGUCCGUCUCCGACGCAACGCAGCGCGCAUCCUUCAAUUGAGAGGAGCCUGGCCCAGGAGUCGGAUCUCACGCAUAAGGCGUCGUCCCAUGAACCAGCCUGAGCCCGUUUAAAUCCAGCAACGUCCACCUGCCCUUUGAGCAGGAGUCCCGGGACCUAGACCGGGCCACGAACCCCGCUGUUGCUUUCCUCAGGCCCUCUGUGCCGGCAACAGGCUCCUAGACCCAUGCAGCACAUUCAAAUUCAUUUUACUGACUUACCCGCUCAGAAGGAAAGCCACUGCCAAAGCCGUUUGCAAGGUGCUUCUGAAUGAGAUCCUGCCAAGGUUUGGCCCUCCUGAAAAAUUAAUUCUGACCAGGGAACGCAUUUUACAGCAAAAAUGUGCAAGAAACUCACUGAAGCGGUUGGGCCAAAAUGGGUUUUUCAUGCCCCCUGGUAUCCUCAGAGCUCGGGCCAGGUGGAGCAUGUGAAUGGAACUCUAAAGACCACCCUAACCAAGUUGUGUAAGAAACUUAAGAUCAAAUGGACUAAAGUUUUUCCUUUUGGCUUCGUAUAUUGUCUGGACUACCCCGAAUUCCAGGACUAAGCUAGCACCCUUUGAGAUACUUUUUGGACAUGUACCACCUCUUUUUACUUCUCCGGUUUCAAUACCUAGUGACCCUGAUCUGCCUUGUGAAACAAAAACUUAUGUAAAAGCUUUGCAGCAGCAUUUAACUACAUGACAACGGUACUCAGUGCAGUCUCAAUCUUUACCGUUGUGGGGAGCUGUUCAUUCCAUUUCGCCAGGUGACCCAGUGUGGAUCAAAGCUUACUGAAAGACUCCACUUCAACCCCAGUGGUUAGAACCAUUCGAGACUAUCCUGGUGAGCCCUCCUGCUGUUCGGGUCAAGGAACGUCCCGCUUGGAUUCAUCAUACCAGAGUCAAACAGAGCCUCGCUAGGGAGCCCGACCUGGUAAAGGGUUACCCAGAAGCAGAUGGCGUCAGACUUCGAGGGAGCCACACACGUUCACCCCACUGCGAACUGGGUGAGCCAGAAGCAGACGACCCCUGUGCCCAGGACAAAUGGACUGCUACUCCUUUGGGCGACCUGAGGCUAAAAUUCAAGAAGUAGACUGGUGCCCAUUCCCCAAGGAAUGGCAACGAACAGUCGCCUGGGGAGUUGGUGGACUCAUUUGUGCAUUGUUUGUUGUUUUUCUUUUGUGGUGGUUGAAGUAACUAGGGGAUAUGAACAUAAGGCCUUUAUUCGCUUUGCUCAUGAAAUGAAAGCCCGUAUGCCAGCACUGAAUAACAUUUCACGUUGGGUAUGCCCCUGUAGUGAGGCGGCCUGGCUCCCAGCCGCUCCUGAGAGGGAUGAGCCAGAACAGCCGCCACAGUGGGCGGAGCCACUGCCGCCUGUCCCCGCCCCCCGGAAGUCAAGGGG
Molecule: long non-coding RNA, 2051 nt
Organism: Mauremys mutica (yellowpond turtle)
Lineage: Eukaryota; Metazoa; Chordata; Testudines; Geoemydidae
Exons: 3
Source: RefSeq, a predicted model, not a curated record